ACGCAGCCUCGAGCCGCUGCCGUGCCUGCGCGUGGCACUUUGGAGUCAGACUGCCGAGCCGGAGCCCGCACUUGCUCAUAAAUGGGGCCACCUGGCCCCCACGGCAUCGGCCCUUUUAACUAGGAGCCAGCAUC
Small nucleolar RNA from Monodon monoceros (narwhal), 134 nucleotides. The record is from Ensembl. Lineage: Eukaryota; Metazoa; Chordata; Mammalia; Artiodactyla; Monodontidae.